GAUCAAGUGCUUCCGGUGUCCCAAUCUUCUCAAGCAACUUGUCAACAAGGGAGUCCACUCGACUAACAAAGAAAGAAGCGACACUUGUGACUCGGGAGAGGUCAUUGAGCCCACUCGCUUCAAGGCCAUCGAGCUUGUAUUGUAGUUUCAGUAUCAUCGGCAAGUAGGGGUGAAACUUCAACAGAGACAUAUCCAUCUCCACCAUCUGUAUCAUCGUAGAUCGACUCAAAAAGCUUGCAUGCAUCUUGGAUAUCUUUCACAACGAGCUCCCAGUAAGCCAUUUUGAUGUCUACUCCAGAUUGUACUAGUUCCCUGUAUUUAGAUUGGAAUAUAAACUGAAAUUUCCAGGGAAUCAAGAUGAAACAUUUAAAGGGCUAAAUAACAAAGUACGAAUAAUUUUUUGAAUGAAAAUAAAAAAUACGAAUUAGGUGAAGGGGCCAAAAAUAGCAAGGAUACACCAACUGUCACAAGUAAUGCUGCUACCUAAAUAAUCAUUUAAUUCACAAUAAACCAACUUCACAUACUGCCUUCAGCAACCUAAAAUAGAAUCUAAGCUUAAACUUUAUCAUAUAAACCUCAUAUAAAGUCAAUUUCCUCGAUUAGUAUCUUGGCACACUAAUAUCAAGUAGAGAAGAAAAAAGGUUUCGAGGAUCAGCUACAACAACAGAAUCAAGACAUCCGAAGAAACUCUAGAACAUUUAACAAGAUCAAUAUUUGUAAAUAAACUCAAUCAUGUCUUACUUGAACUGAUCAUUGUAUGCACUUGAUGUAGAAAUUGCUUUCUGGAAUAUCUGCAAUUUGACACACUAGAGGAUUAAUAGAAGCCCAAACGAAAAAGGGGUUGUUUUCUAGCAUUAUAAACACUUGUACACAUAUCAGAUCAUGAUAUAAUUUUAAAAAAUGAAUAAGGAUAGCACAUUAACAAAUUCAUAUCCCUCACCGCUGGGUUGCUGGUUACACCUCGAACUCCACUCUCGAUCAACGGGAUAAGAUCAGUAACCGGACGGCAUAGAUUAUCGUACCACGGGCUCUGCCCUUGCUUCUCAUAAAGAUCAUGGAGCGUGGUUCUCUUCACACUACUCCCAUUUCCAUCAACUUUAGAGCAUCUCACACUACCCAAAAAAAAAUCAACCAAAGUCAUAAAUUAUAGAUCAAUCGAGUCAUAGCUUCGACUCCAUCAUCCCUAAAUUUCUAUAAAUGAAUUAAAGAGCAAUAAACGAAUUAAUCUCUUCAAGGCAUCAUGUUACAUAAAUCAACCAAAACAGCGCUCAUAUAAUACGAAAUCCACAAAAUCAACAACGGGAAAAUCAGCUCAGUUCUUUCAUCUCAUCAAAAUAAAUAUCAAAAAAGGCAGAUCAUUACGAAGAUGAAUAUCAAAAUUCCCACUCAACACCAACACGAGAGGGGGAGGGAAAAAUAUGAAGAUGAAUAGAAUGCUUACAUCAAUGAACCGGCGAUUCUUUGGGCAGCGCGAACACUGAGCUUGGAUGAUGAAAUGGAUUUCUCGAAAAUGGCGAUCCUUUUACGAGGAUCAGCAAAGCACAUAGGCUGAUUCUGCUGCUGCGGCGAUGAUCUGGUGAAGGUAGUUGCAGAAUUGGCAAAAGCUGAGGCGGAGAGCUUGGAAAUGGAAGGCAUGGCAGAUUGGAAAUGAAGGUGGAAGAGAAGAGACGUCUAAUUUUGGGGAUUAGGGCUUAAAUUAAUUAAGAGGGGUCAAUUUUGUGCUGACUUGUCUUUACAAGCUAUGUAAAAGCCGGUAAGUGAAGGGCAAAUUUGGUAGGUCAUCACGAUUGUUUGGUGAGAGGGGGUAGGUCGUUUCUAGGACUUUGCUAUCUAAUUCAAUCGCUAAAUUUGGUCUUCACAUCAACUCUAUCUUACUUAUUUGGGAUUGCGCUUUACAUUUGUUUUUCAUCCGUUUUUUAAUUACAACAAUAGUCGUUGCAUCAUAUCUGCCUUUCAAUAUUAUUGACAAUCUUUUCAUUGUAUCGCC
Long non-coding RNA from Salvia hispanica, 1987 nucleotides. RefSeq lists it as uncharacterized. The record is from RefSeq and is a predicted model, not a curated record. Lineage: Eukaryota; Viridiplantae; Streptophyta; Magnoliopsida; Lamiales; Lamiaceae.